RNAcentral lists this ribosomal RNA (493 nucleotides) under Pseudomonas sp. CL3.19. RNAcentral's name for it is "bacterial SSU rRNA". It matches the Rfam family "Bacterial small subunit ribosomal RNA", at positions 14 to 502 of the family's 1533-position model. Lineage: Bacteria; Pseudomonadati; Pseudomonadota; Gammaproteobacteria; Pseudomonadales; Pseudomonadaceae. The record is from RNAcentral.
UGAUCAUGGCUCAGAUUGAACGCUGGCGGCAGGCCUAACACAUGCAAGUCGAGCGGAUGACAGGAGCUUGCUCCUGAAUUCAGCGGCGGACGGGUGAGUAAUGCCUAGGAAUCUGCCUGGUAGUGGGGGACAACGUUUCGAAAGGAACGCUAAUACCGCAUACGUCCUACGGGAGAAAGCAGGGGACCUUCGGGCCUUGCGCUAUCAGAUGAGCCUAGGUCGGAUUAGCUAGUUGGUGAGGUAAUGGCUCACCAAGGCGACGAUCCGUAACUGGUCUGAGAGGAUGAUCAGUCACACUGGAACUGAGACACGGUCCAGACUCCUACGGGAGGCAGCAGUGGGGAAUAUUGGACAAUGGGCGAAAGCCUGAUCCAGCCAUGCCGCGUGUGUGAAGAAGGUCUUCGGAUUGUAAAGCACUUUAAGUUGGGAGGAAGGGCAUUAACCUAAUACGUUAGUGUUUUGACGUUACCGACAGAAUAAGCACCGGCUAACU